Long non-coding RNA from Manis pentadactyla (Chinese pangolin), 437 nucleotides. RefSeq lists it as uncharacterized. The transcript is spliced from 3 exons. NCBI's taxonomy places the organism in Eukaryota, Metazoa, Chordata, Mammalia, Pholidota, Manidae. The record is from RefSeq and is a predicted model, not a curated record.
CUUUCAUACUAGAAUGUGUGUUCUGUAGGCAGCUGAGAGCACAGAUCUGGGUGCUGAUCAAGACUCUGAAGUGAGGCCUGAGAAAACGCAGAACUGAGUCUUAGAGACCCAGGUAAUCUGCUGUGUAUCUGCUGUUUAUUGACUGUCCUGAGUUAACCACUGCUGUGUAACAAGCAGACAAACUCUGCCUUCUGCUGAACAGUUGUUGAGACCCCCACAAAGGCAAAGAAACAAAGGUACUUGCAGGGAUUGGGAUGGUGAUGGGAUUGGUCUCCUGGGUCUGUUUCCAUCUCUGUGACUUGAAUUCUUUCUGAUUCCUCCAUGGGAGAGGCAGCACUUAUCACGUCUUGACCAGAUGACCAUCCUUUGUGUAAAGUAUUGUAUCCUUGCAAUUUAUCUCAGAUUUCCUGGGAUUCUGAUUCUUUAUUUCUUCAUUC